AUGCAGAACGUGCAGAGGAAGUCUUACGAUCAUAUUUCAUAUGCUUCCUUCAUCGUAGCUGAUAAAAAUCAUAAUAUCUUUCCUCUGUCUCAAUUGGUUUGACCUGAUCUAAACUGUGCUUGCUAGUCUCAACUGUAUUAUGUAUCGGACCAAAUGAUCCAUCCACCAUUGAUGUGUCACCACUGGCCUUCGACUUUCUGCAUUGUGACAGUGUAUUUGCCUCGUAGUUUUCUCUCUUUGAAGUGUCCUCUGGCGCUCUCUUAUCAGUUAAAUCCCGUGAAACUUUUCCGUCACCCUCACUUUCUAUUGACGCUUCUGUUUGCUUACUUCAAGAUGUAAUAACAAAACGAUAAUUUAUUAUUAUUAUUAUUUUUUAAAAAACGAAAUAUGAAGAGAUAUCGCUAUAUAAAUGAAAAUGAACAAUUUCAAUAACAUAGAGCCUUAACAACAAAUUAUCUUAUGAAAGACUAGGAGGAUUCAAUUAGAAGUUCAUAAUAUAUGCGCUCGAUAAAGGUUUCUAUCUUACAUAUCUAGUAGAUGCAUGACCGAGUGACCGACAAGAUGACAAUCUAACAGAUGUUAAGAUAACCAUCUAAAACUCUACAAGGCUAACUAGAAAAGGAGUUCCGUCUUGCUCUCUCACAUAACAAGUUGAUCAUCUCUAAGACUAUGCACUCAUGUGGUUCAUUUCACAAAAUUCACGACUUUUAUCAAUUUUUUCACCAUACAUUUGAUUAACCUUUAUCAAAAUUUACUAAAAAUCUAAUUUAUAAAAAAACCAAAAAGGGUCUACGACUCUACUGGACUUAAGGAUGAGCGCCCCUCUCUUGUCUAGUGAAGCAUGGUGAUCUUCCAUGACCCCAUCAUACAUACUUUCAGACAAGGAUAUACACAAUAAAUGCAUUCUAUAUAUGUUUCGAAUAUAUAAAUCUUUCUCCAUGUUAUUUCUUAAUGUAAUUUUCUUCUUGUUAUUCUUAUAGAGCUAUGCAUCAUUUUCCUACUUUUUAAACUCUUUUUUUUCCUAGUAAUUAAGAAGGUCGCAUUUACUACCUAUUUACCAAUAGAGUUUUCCCAAAUGCUUCACAGUGUUUAAAGAAAG
This 1099-nucleotide long non-coding RNA is filed under the name Olea europaea subsp. europaea. Lineage: Eukaryota; Viridiplantae; Streptophyta; Magnoliopsida; Lamiales; Oleaceae. The record is from RNAcentral.